This 1102-nucleotide long non-coding RNA is filed under the name Lynx canadensis (Canada lynx). Its description in RNAcentral is "lncRNA (ENSLCNG00005008122.1)". Lineage: Eukaryota; Metazoa; Chordata; Mammalia; Carnivora; Felidae. The record is from RNAcentral.
AUGAUUCGUGACUGUGAAAAUCCUUUACUCCAAACCAAAUGAGACUCCUUCGCCUCCUCUUACAAAAUCCUUACUGUCACACACAUGCCUCAAUUUGCAAAUUUGGGGCCUUCUCCUCAGACUCCUUCUCUCUUCCUGAAUUCCUUAUUGUAAAAAGUGACCCCUUUUGAAAUAACAAGUGUGGGUGUCUGUCCAGAUUGUCCCCUUUGGGGAAAGCGCCCUCCGCAGUCUGGAAUGAUCCCGCCCCAUUCAUUUUGCACAAGUGUAGCCCGUAACCUCCCGUGACCCACCCUAUGAACCCCCGCACCCACCCCUGGCCACAUGUGACCCAAGUCAGGCCAAGAAGAGCCUCCUUCAGACUCUGGCCAGAACUGAGGUGAAAUGUUGCCUCCCGUCCCUGAGUGACGUUCGCCAGCCCGUGAGUGUCUUGCUGCCAUGAGGCGAAUCCCGAUUGAGAAGGAAGUUCAGCAGAGGUGAGCAGAGCCUGGGGGAGCUUGGAGGAGGCCAAGGGCAGUGCCGGGUGUGGCCCGAGCCUGUCACCCUCAGACUUCCUGGUUUUUCUGACACCGAGGUGAGAUGCGGACUGUCAAGUGGCAUAGGGUUGUGACAAACUCAGGUGCUCAAUGGUGCAGAUAAUCCACCCCUGAGAUUAUCAGAAAGCGCCGGGUCCUCCAGGAUGCCAACACCUGGGAAAUCAGCCGCUUGCACCAACAACAUCCUUUAAUAUACCCCAAAUAUCAGCAAAUAUCGUCUGGGAGACGAAACAGUGUGAUGCCCUCAGUCCUCCGGAGGGACCAUCUUUACACCAAAUGGUUUUCUGUGCUGCUGGGCUGCUGGGUCCGACCUGCCUGUGUCUCUGGUUUCACGUCUGCUCUCUGUGGACAAUGACACCAUCCCAGAAGAGAAGAGGGCAGAGAGCCACACGGAGUCGGUGAGAAAGUAAGACACUACGUCCCACGCGGUGCCACCUACUAAUGUAAUAUGAGAGAGGAGAGAAUAAUUGGUUUAGAGAAAAACACAUUUUCCCAAGACUUUUUUAUAUGAACCCAAACUCUCACAUUAGUUAACUAUAAGGACAAUUGGAUCCCAAGACAAGCAAACC